Molecule: ribosomal RNA, 47 nt
Filed under: uncultured fungus
Lineage: Eukaryota; Fungi
Description: partial 28S ribosomal RNA
Source: RNAcentral
CAUCUCAAUCAGUAGACUACCCGCUGACUAAGCUAUCAUAGCGANGA